GGGGAUCGAAAGACCUUAUGCUUUUGGAGCGGCCGAUGUCUGAUUAGCUAGUUGGUAGGGUAAUGGCUUACCAAGGCGACGAUCAGUAGUUGGUCUGAGAGGACGGCCAGCCACACUGGGACUGAGACACGGCCCAGACUCCUACGGGAGGCAGCAGUGGGGAAUUUUGGACAAUGGGCGCAAGCCUGAUCCAGCAAUGCCGCGUGAGUGAAGAAGGCCUUCGGGUUGUAAAGCUCUUUCAGUUGAGAAGAAAAAGUCGUGACUAAUAAUCAUGGCUCAUGACGGUAUCAACAGAAGAAGCACCGGCUAACUACGUGCCAGCAGCCGCGGUAAUACGUAGGGUGCAAGCGUUAAUCGGAAUUACUGGGCGUAAAGGGUGCGCAGGCGGUUCUGUAAGUCAGAUGUGAAAUCCCCGGGCUUAACCUGGGAACUGCGUUUGAAA
RNAcentral lists this ribosomal RNA (442 nucleotides) under uncultured bacterium. RNAcentral's name for it is "bacterial SSU rRNA". It matches the Rfam family "Bacterial small subunit ribosomal RNA", at positions 195 to 632 of the family's 1533-position model. The record is from RNAcentral.